UCUAUUGUGGCAGAUACAAUGCAGUGAGCUUAAAAUUCAUAUAUAAAUAAUAUAAUUUCUAUAGAA
This 66-nucleotide transfer RNA is filed under the name Alchisme apicalis. Its description in RNAcentral is "tRNA-Leu". Lineage: Eukaryota; Metazoa; Arthropoda; Insecta; Hemiptera; Membracidae. The record is from RNAcentral.